Molecule: ribosomal RNA, 465 nt
Filed under: Vreelandella stevensii
Lineage: Bacteria; Pseudomonadati; Pseudomonadota; Gammaproteobacteria; Oceanospirillales; Halomonadaceae
Description: partial 16S ribosomal RNA
Rfam family: Bacterial small subunit ribosomal RNA
Source: RNAcentral
CCUACGGGUGGCAGCAGUGGGGAAUAUUGGACAAUGGGGGCAACCCUGAUCCAGCCAUGCCGCGUGUGUGAAGAAGGCCCUCGGGUUGUAAAGCACUUUCAGUGAGGAAGAACGCCUGGUGGUUAAUACCCAUCAGGAAAGACAUCACUCACAGAAGAAGCACCGGCUAACUCCGUGCCAGCAGCCGCGGUAAUACGGAGGGUGCGAGCGUUAAUCGGAAUUACUGGGCGUAAAGCGCGCGUAGGUGGCUUGAUAAGCCGGUUGUGAAAGCCCCGGGCUCAACCUGGGAACGGCAUCCGGAACUGUCAAGCUAGGGUGCAGGAGAGGAAGGUAGAAUUCCCGGUGUAGCGGUGAAAUGCGUAGAGAUCGGGAGGAAUACCAGUGGCGAAGGCGGCCUUCUGGACUGACACUGACACUGAGGUGCGAAAGCGUGGGUAGCAAACAGGAUUAGAUACCCCGGUAGUC